GGGACACGUGGUAUCCUGUCUGAAUAUGGGGGGACCAUCCUCCAAGGCUAAAUACUCCUGACUGACCGAUAGUGAACCAGUACCGUGAGGGAAAGGCGAAAAGAACCCCGGCGAGGGGAGUGAAAAAGAACCUGAAACCGUGUACGUACAAGCAGUGGGAGCACGCUUAGGCGUGUGACUGCGUACCUUUUGUAUAAUGGGUCAGCGACUUAUAUUCUGUAGCAAGGUUAACCGAAUAGGGGAGCCGAAGGGAAACCGAGUCUUAACUGGGCGUUAAGUUGCAGGGUAUAGACCCGAAACCCGGUGAUCUAGCCAUGGGCAGGUUGAAGGUUGGGUAACACUAACUGGAGGACCGAACCGACUAAUGUUGAAAAAUUAGCGGAUGACUUGUGGCUGGGGGUGAAAGGCCAAUCAAACCGGGAGAUAGCUGGUUCUCCCCGAAAGCUAUUUAGGUAGCGCCUCGUGAAUUCAUCUCCGGGGGUAGAGCACUGUUUCGGCAAGGGGGUCAUCCCGACUUACCAACCCGAUGCAAACUGCGAAUACCGGAGAAUGUUAUCACGGGAGACACACGGCGGGUGCUAACGUCCGUCGUGAAGAGGGAAACAACCCAGACCGCCAGCUAAGGUCCCAAAGUCAUGGUUAAGUGGGAAACGAUGUGGGAAGGCCCAGACAGCCAGGAUGUUGGCUUAGAAGCAGCCAUCAUUUAAAGAAAGCGUAAUAGCUCACUGGUCGAGUCGGCCUGCGCGGAAGAUGUAACGGGGCUAAACCAUGCACCGAAGCUGCGGCAGCGACGCUUAUGCGUUGUUGGGUAGGGGAGCGUUCUGUAAGCCUGCGAAGGUGUGCUGUGAGGCAUGCUGGAGGUAUCAGAAGUGCGAAUGCUGACAUAAGUAACGAUAAAGCGGGUGAAAAGCCCGCUCGCCGGAAGACCAAGGGUUCCUGUCCAACGUUAAUCGGGGCAGGGUGAGUCGACCCCUAAGGCGAGGCCGAAAGGCGUAGUCGAUGGGAAACAGGUUAAUAUUCCUGUACUUGGUGUUACUGCGAAGGGGGGACGGAGAAGGCUAUGUUGUCCGGGCGACGGUUGUCCCGGUUUAAGCGUGUAGGCUGGUUUUCCAGGCAAAUCCGGAAAAUCAAGGCUGAGGCGUGAUGACGAGGCACUACGGUGCUGAAGCAACAAAUGCCCUGCUUCCAGGAAAAGCCUCUAAGCAUCAGGUAACAUCAAAUCGUACCCCAAACCGACACAGGUGGUCAGGUAGAGAAUACCAAGGCGCUUGAGAGAACUCGGGUGAAGGAACUAGGCAAAAUGGUGCCGUAACUUCGGGAGAAGGCACGCUGAUAUGUAGGUGAAGUCCCUCGCGGAUGGAGCUGAAAUCAGUCGAAGAUACCAGCUGGCUGCAACUGUUUAUUAAAAACACAGCACUGUGCAAACACGAAAGUGGACGUAUACGGUGUGACGCCUGCCCGGUGCCGGAAGGUUAAUUGAUGGGGUUAGCGCAAGCGAAGCUCUUGAUCGAAGCCCCGGUAAACGGCGGCCGUAACUAUAACGGUCCUAAGGUAGCGAAAUUCCUUGUCGGGUAAGUUCCGACCUGCACGAAUGGCGUAAUGAUGGCCAGGCUGUCUCCACCCGAGACUCAGUGAAAUUGAACUCGCUGUGAAGAUGCAGUGUACCCGCGGCAAGACGGAAAGACCCCGUGAACCUUUACUAUAGCUUGACACUGAACAUUGAGCCUUGAUGUGUAGGAUAGGUGGGAGGCUUUGAAGUGUGGACGCCAGUCUGCAUGGAGCCGACCUUGAAAUACCACCCUUUAAUGUUUGAUGUUCUAACGUUGACCCGUUAUCCGGGUUGCGGACAGUGUCUGGUGGGUAGUUUGACUGGGGCGGUCUCCUCCUAAAGAGUAACGGAGGAGCACGAAGGUUGGCUAAUCCUGGUCGGACAUCAGGAGGUUAGUGCAAUGGCAUAAGCCAGCUUGACUGCGAGCGUGACGGCGCGAGCAGGUGCGAAAGCAGGUCAUAGUGAUCCGGUGGUUCUGAAUGGAAGGGCCAUCGCUCAACGGAUAAAAGGUACUCCGGGGAUAACAGGCUGAUACCGCCCAAGAGUUCAUAUCGACGGCGGUGUUUGGCACCUCGAUGUCGGCUCAUCACAUCCUGGGGCUGAAGUAGGUCCCAAGGGUAUGGCUGUUCGCCAUUUAAAGUGGUACGCGAGCUGGGUUUAGAACGUCGUGAGACAGUUCGGUCCCUAUCUGCCGUGGGCGCUGGAGAAUUGAGGGGGGCUGCUCCUAGUACGAGAGGACCGGAGUGGACGCAUCACUGGUGUUCGGGUUGUCAUGCCAAUGGCACUGCCCGGUAGCUAAAUGCGGAAGAGAUAAGUGCUGAAAGCAUCUAAGCACGAAACUUGCCCCGAGAUGAGUUCUCCCUGACUCUUUUAGUGUCCUGAAGGAACGUUGAAGACGACGACGUUGAUAGGCCGGGUGUGUAAGCGCAGCGAUGCGUUGAGCUAACCGGUACUAAUGAACCGUGAGGCUUAACC
RNAcentral lists this ribosomal RNA (2524 nucleotides) under Escherichia coli. Its description in RNAcentral is "bacterial LSU rRNA". It matches the Rfam family "Bacterial large subunit ribosomal RNA", at positions 419 to 2925 of the family's 2925-position model. The record is from RNAcentral. Lineage: Bacteria; Pseudomonadati; Pseudomonadota; Gammaproteobacteria; Enterobacterales; Enterobacteriaceae.